RNAcentral lists this ribosomal RNA (498 nucleotides) under uncultured bacterium. Its description in RNAcentral is "partial 16S ribosomal RNA". It matches the Rfam family "Bacterial small subunit ribosomal RNA", at positions 28 to 523 of the family's 1533-position model. The record is from RNAcentral.
GUUGAACGCUGGCGGCAUGCCUUACACAUGCAAGUCGAACGGUAACAGGUCUUCGGAUGCUGACGAGUGGCGAACGGGUGAGUAAUACAUCGGAACGUGCCCGAUCGUGGGGGAUAACGAAGCGAAAGCUUUGCUAAUACCGCAUACGAUCUACGGAUGAAAGCAGGGGACCGCAAGGCCUUGCGCGAACGGAGCGGCCGAUGGCAGAUUAGGUAGUUGGUGGGAUAAAAGCUUACCAAGCCGACGAUCUGUAGCUGGUCUGAGAGGACGACCAGCCACACUGGGACUGAGACACGGCCCAGACUCCUACGGGAGGCAGCAGUGGGGAAUUUUGGACAAUGGGCGAAAGCCUGAUCCAGCCAUGCCGCGUGCAGGAUGAAGGCCUUCGGGUUGUAAACUGUUUUUGUACGGAACGAAAAGACUCUGGUUAAUACCUGGGGUCCAUGACGGUACCGUAAGAAUAAGCACCGGCUAACUACGUGCCAGCCGCCGCGGUAA